Molecule: ribosomal RNA, 492 nt
Filed under: uncultured bacterium
Lineage: Bacteria
Description: partial 16S ribosomal RNA
Rfam family: Bacterial small subunit ribosomal RNA
Source: RNAcentral
AGUGAACGCUGGCGGUAGGCCUAACACAUGCAAGUCGAACGGCAGCACAGUAAGAGCUUGCUCUUACGGGUGGCGAGUGGCGGACGGGUGAGGAAUACAUCGGAAUCUACUUUUUCGUGGGGGAUAACGUAGGGAAACUUACGCUAAUACCGCAUACGACCUACGGGUGAAAGCAGGGGAUCUUCGGACCUUGCGCGAUUGAAUGAGCCGAUGUCGGAUUAGCUAGUUGGCGGGGUAAGGGCCCACCAAGGCGACGAUCCGUAGCUGGUCUGAGAGGAUGAUCAGCCACACUGGAACUGAGACACGGUCCAGUCUCCUACGGGAGGCAGCAGUGGGGAAUAUUGGACAAUGGGCGCAAGCCUGAUCCAGCCAUACCGCGUGGGUGAAGAAGGCCUUCGGGUUGUAAAGCCCUUUUGUUGGGAAAGAAAAGCAGCAGGUUAAUACCCCGCUGUUCUGACGGUACCCAAAGAAUAAGCACCGGCUAACUUCGUG